RNAcentral lists this ribosomal RNA (502 nucleotides) under uncultured bacterium. Its description in RNAcentral is "partial 16S ribosomal RNA". It matches the Rfam family "Bacterial small subunit ribosomal RNA", at positions 28 to 507 of the family's 1533-position model. The record is from RNAcentral.
GACGAACGCUGGCGGCGUGCCUAAUACAUGCAAGUCGAACGAACCGCGACUAGGUGCUUGCACUUGGUCAAGGUGAGUGGCGAACGGGUGAGUAACACGUGGGUAACCUACCUCAUAGUGGGGGAUAACAGUCGGAAACGACUGCUAAUACCGCAUAGGACAUAGGAUCACAUGAUUCUGUGAGGAAAGGUGGCGCAAGCUAUCGCUAAGAGAUGGACCCGCGGUGCAUUAGCUAGUUGGUAGGGUAAAGGCCUACCAAGGCGAUGAUGCAUAGCCGACCUGAGAGGGUGAUCGGCCACAUUGGGACUGAGACACGGCCCAAACUCCUACGGGAGGCAGCAGUAGGGAAUCUUCCGCAAUGGACGCAAGUCUGACGGAGCAACGCCGCGUGAGUGGAGAAGGUCUUCGGAUCGUAAAGCUCUGUUGUUAGAGAAGAACAGCGCAUAGAGUAACUGUUAUGCGUGUGACGGUAUCUAACCAGAAAGCCACGGCUAACUACGUG